CCUACGGGAGGCAGCAGUGAGGAAUAUUGGUCAAUGGGCGAGAGCCUGAACCAGCCAAGUCGCGUGAGGGAGUACUGCCCUAUGGGUUGUAAACCUCUUUUGUCGGGGAGCAAAAGCCGGACGUGUCCGGCGGUUAGAGUACCCGAAGAAAAAGCAUCGGCUAACUCCGUGCCAGCAGCCGCGGUAAUACGGAGGAUGCGAGCGUUAUCCGGAUUUAUUGGGUUUAAAGGGUGCGCAGGCGGCUUUUUAAGUCAGCGGUAAAAUCGUGGGGCUCAACCCCAUCCAGCCGUUGAAACUGGGGAUCUAGAGUGUGCGAGAGGUAUGCGGAAUGCGUGGUGUAGCGGUGAAAUGCAUAGAUAUCACGCAGAACCCCGAUUGCGAAGGCAGCAUACCGGUGCACAACUGACGCUCAGGCACGAAAGCGUGGGUAUCGAACAGGAUUAGAUACCCCAGUAGUC
RNAcentral lists this ribosomal RNA (458 nucleotides) under uncultured bacterium. Its description in RNAcentral is "partial 16S ribosomal RNA". It matches the Rfam family "Bacterial small subunit ribosomal RNA", at positions 338 to 795 of the family's 1533-position model. The record is from RNAcentral.